GCCCCCGUAGCUCAGAAAUGGACAGAGCAAUGGAUUCCUAAUCCAUGUGUCCCCGGUUCGAGUCCGGGCGGGGGCGCCA
This 79-nucleotide transfer RNA is filed under the name Desulfobacca acetoxidans. RNAcentral's name for it is "tRNA-Arg". It matches the Rfam family "tRNA". From Rfam's summary of the family: Transfer RNA (tRNA) molecules are approximately 80 nucleotides in length. Lineage: Bacteria; Pseudomonadati; Thermodesulfobacteriota; Desulfobaccia; Desulfobaccales; Desulfobaccaceae. RNAcentral also lists the same sequence under 1 other name. The record is from RNAcentral.